GACAGGGGUGCCAAGCGUUAGGCGGAAUCACUGGGCUUAAAGCGUGUGUAGGCGGGCUUGUAAGUGUCUUGUGAAAUCCCACGGCUUAACCGUGGAAUGGCUGGGCAUACUGCAAGUCUUGAGCUGCUUAGGGGUCGGUGGAACAAAUGGUGGAGCGGUGAAAUGCGUAGAUAUCAUUUGGAACGCCAACGGUGAAAACAGCCGACUGGGAGCAUGCUGACGCUGAGACACGAAAGCCAGGGGAGCGAACGGG
RNAcentral lists this ribosomal RNA (253 nucleotides) under uncultured bacterium. RNAcentral's name for it is "partial 16S ribosomal RNA". It matches the Rfam family "Bacterial small subunit ribosomal RNA", at positions 524 to 776 of the family's 1533-position model. The record is from RNAcentral.